This 253-nucleotide ribosomal RNA is filed under the name uncultured bacterium. Its description in RNAcentral is "partial 16S ribosomal RNA". It matches the Rfam family "Bacterial small subunit ribosomal RNA", at positions 524 to 776 of the family's 1533-position model. The record is from RNAcentral.
UACGAAGGGGGCUAGCGUUGUUCGGAAUCACUGGGCGUAAAGCGUCUGUAGGUGGUGAUGCAAGUCACUGGUGCAAAACUCUGGCUCAACCGGAGGAAAGCCAGUGAAACUGCAUGACUAGAGUGUGGGAGAGGUAGAAGGAAUUCCCUGAGUAGCGGUGAAAUGCGUAGAUACAGGGAAGAACACCGGAGGCGAAAGCGUUCUACUGGAACACAACUGACACUGAGAGACGAAAGCUAGGGGAGCGAAUGGG